Molecule: ribosomal RNA, 467 nt
Filed under: uncultured bacterium
Lineage: Bacteria
Description: partial 16S ribosomal RNA
Rfam family: Bacterial small subunit ribosomal RNA
Source: RNAcentral
GACGAACGCUGGCGGCGUGCUUAACACAUGCAAGUCGAACGGCAAGGCCCUGCUUUUGUGGGGUGCUCGAGUGGCGAACGCGUGAGUAACACGUGAGUAACCUGCCCUUCUCUUUGGUAUAACUUCAGGAAACUGGGGCUAAUACCGUAUAGCAGCCCCUGUUGCAUGGAGGGGAUUGGAACGUUUCGGCGGUUGGGGAUGGAGGCGCGGCUUAGGAGCUUGUUGGUUGGGUAGUGGCUUACCAAUGCUUGGACGGGUAGCCGGCCUGGCAGGGUGACCGGCCACAUUGGGACUGGGAUACGGGCCAGAGGGCUUCGGGGGGCAGGAGUGGAGAAUAGUGCCAGACGGGCGGAGGCGGGAUGGAGCAACGCCGCGUGCGGGAGGACGGCUGUCGGGUAGGAAAAGGCUUUCGCCUGUGACGAGGCGUGAGGGACGGUAAUGGAGAAAGAGGCACCGGCUAACUAGGG